Molecule: ribosomal RNA, 207 nt
Filed under: uncultured bacterium
Lineage: Bacteria
Description: partial 16S ribosomal RNA
Rfam family: Bacterial small subunit ribosomal RNA
Source: RNAcentral
CGCGUAGGCGGCUCGCCAAGUCAGGGGUGAAAUACUUCAGCUUAACUGGAGAAGUGCCCUUGAUACUGGCGGGCUUGAGGGAGGUAGGGGCAUGUGGAACUUCUGGUGGAGCGGUGAAAUGCGUUGAUAUCAGAAGGAACGCCGGUGGCGAAAGCGACGUGCUGGACCUCUUCUGACGCUGAGGCGCGAAAGCUAGGGGAGCAAACG